GGAGUCUUACGCAGCUGUUCUUCCUUGCAUUUGUUGAAGGAAGAAUUCCUAGAUACCCUCCUACUCUUCUUCUUCUUAACUCCAACAGCAGAUGUAGGAGAACCCGGAACAGGGGUCCUGCUUUCAUAAGUUAAGCAGGACCCCGUCCGGAGUGCCCGGACUAUAUUCAAUAAACAAUCCAGAGCACCAACACAACCAACCCCUCUAUUCUCCGUAUUCG
Molecule: unclassified non-coding RNA, 220 nt
Filed under: Hevea brasiliensis (rubber tree)
Lineage: Eukaryota; Viridiplantae; Streptophyta; Magnoliopsida; Malpighiales; Euphorbiaceae
Source: RNAcentral